AAGUCGUAACAAGGUUUCCGUAGGUGAACCUGCGGAAGGAUCAUUAACAAUAACACCUUGGCUGGGUGCGUGCGGCUGGCUUGCUCGCCCUUGGGUGUGGCUCGCUGUGCCGCCGCUCCGGCCAAGUACACACCUGUGAACCGUUCUGGCGCUUCCGCUGAAUCGCUUGGCUAGCUCGCUAGCCAGGUGUGCAGGCGGAGGUUGGCUACAGCCGCAAGGCUUGUGGCUAGUAUUAACCCUCACCUUUGGUGAAUUGCUAUUAAACAGUGUAGUGGUUUGGGCUCAAUGUGACUAAAUACAACUUUUAACAAUGGAUCUCUAGGCUCUU
This 328-nucleotide unclassified non-coding RNA is filed under the name fungal sp. Its description in RNAcentral is "partial internal transcribed spacer region". The stretch from base 1 to 46 matches the Rfam family "Eukaryotic small subunit ribosomal RNA", at positions 1786 to 1831 of the family's 1831-position model. Lineage: Eukaryota; Fungi. The record is from RNAcentral.